Molecule: transfer RNA, 80 nt
Filed under: Desmophyllum pertusum
Lineage: Eukaryota; Metazoa; Cnidaria; Anthozoa; Scleractinia; Caryophylliidae
Description: tRNA-Thr
Rfam family: tRNA (bases 5-68)
About the family: Transfer RNA (tRNA) molecules are approximately 80 nucleotides in length. Their secondary structure includes four short double-helical elements and three loops (D, anti-codon, and T loops). Further hydrogen bonds mediate the characteristic L-shaped molecular structure. tRNAs have two regions of fundamental functional importance: the anti-codon, which is responsible for specific mRNA codon recognition, and the 3' end, to which the tRNAs corresponding amino acid is attached (by aminoacyl-tRNA synthetases). tRNAs cope with the degeneracy of the genetic code in two manners: having more than one tRNA (with a specific anti-codon) for a particular amino acid; and 'wobble' base-pairing, i.e. permitting non-standard base-pairing at the 3rd anti-codon position.
Source: RNAcentral
AAUACCGUAGCUCAGUGGUUAGAGCAUCCGACCGGUGUACGGAAGGUCAUGGGUUCGAUUCCCGUCGGGGACUCAGAUUG